AUUCAAAACAAGCUUCCUCGCGUUCCAACAUACUCUCUCUCUUGGGGAUCUUGGGUCGUCGACUCCGCCGCGCCAGAAAUCGUCUCUGGCGGCGGCGGAGGCGGAGGCGGAGGCUCAAACACUCCAAUUCAUACCUCAUCUUGUCCCUCUCUUUCUUCUCUAUCUAAACCCUAACCUAAUUUUCCCCAAUUUCCCCUUAAUAAACUAAAUCGAAGCUCACAGUGGAUGAACCCUAAGAAUCCUUGAACUCUAAUUAGACGUUAAACUCACUCGAACGUGACUAGCAAACGUAUGAUCGUGGAGAUUCUACGCUAGUGCAAUUGUUUGGUAGAAGAAGAAAGAAAGAUAGAUGAAAGAUGGUUAACCGACCUUCGAAGUUGUGAGCUGCUUCGGUAAAUGUUACAAGUCUCAAAGGUGCAGCUCGAACAAGAAUCCCAGCGAUCUCCACUGAGCUAUAAUGGUGGAAUGGCCUGCUGCUAAGUUGUUGAUGUCAUGGUUGUCUUGGGAAUAAAGGAUCAACUGCAAUGGAUGGCAUGAUCAAGGCAAUUGGAACUCAUCAAGAUGAAGAUGGGAUGAAGAUGAAAUUUUAGGAUUAUUAGAUGGUGUUGUCUUUGGUCGAUGGUUGACCAAAAAGUCAAAUGUUGACCUAAAAGUCAAUUGUUGGCUAAAAGUCAACAUUACAAAAAUGUUCAUUGUUUUGUUAAUAUGCUUACGGACAAUGUAAAUUGAUUUGAAUGAAAUGUAAUGAAUAAUUUUGAAUGAA
Molecule: long non-coding RNA, 763 nt
Organism: Lathyrus oleraceus (garden pea)
Lineage: Eukaryota; Viridiplantae; Streptophyta; Magnoliopsida; Fabales; Fabaceae
Exons: 3
Source: RefSeq, a predicted model, not a curated record